AACGAAGCACCUUGCGCAGAUCGCUUCGGUGUGAAGCGCUUGGUGACUUAGUGGCGAACGGGUGAGUAACGCGUUGGUGACCUGCCCCGAAGAGGGGGAUAACAGCUCGAAAGGGCUGCUAAUACCCCAUGAGAUCUACCUGGUUAGAGUGGGUAGAUGAAAGGAGAAAUCCGCUUUGGGAGGGGCCUGCGUCCCAUCAGCUAGUUGGUAAGGUAAAGGCUUACCAAGGCGAAGACGGGUAGGGGGCCUGAGAGGGUGACCCCCCACACUGGCACUGAAACACGGGCCAGACACCUACGGGUGGCAGCAGUAGGGAAUAUUGCACAAUGGGCGAAAGCCUGAUGCAGCAACGCCGCGUGCGCGAUGACGGCCUUCGGGUUGUAAAGCGCUUUUCGGGGAGAUGAGGAAGGACAGUAUCCCCGGAAUAAGGCUCGGCUAACUACGUGCCAGCAGCCGCGGUAACACGUAGGAGCCAAGCGUUAUCCGAAUUCACUGGGCGUAAAGCGCGUGUAGGCGGCUUAUUAAGUUGGAUGUGAAAGCUCCCGGCUCAACUGGGAGAGGACGUUCAAGACUGGUAGGCUAGAGGGCGACAGAGGGAGGUGGAAUUCCCGGUGUAGUGGUGAAAUGCGUAGAUAUCGGGAGGAACACCAGUGGCGAAGGCGGCCUCCUGGGUCGCACCUGACGCUCAGACGCGAAAGCUAGGGUAGCAAACGGGAUUAGAGACCCCGGUAGUCCUAGCCGUAAACGAUGUAGGCUUGGCGUCGGCGGGUUUAAAUCCGUCGGUGUCGAAGCUAACGCGAAUAAGUCUACCGCCUGGGGACU
Molecule: ribosomal RNA, 822 nt
Filed under: uncultured Chloroflexota bacterium
Lineage: Bacteria; Bacillati; Chloroflexota
Description: bacterial SSU rRNA
Rfam family: Bacterial small subunit ribosomal RNA
Source: RNAcentral